RNAcentral lists this ribosomal RNA (820 nucleotides) under uncultured Gemmatimonadota bacterium. RNAcentral's name for it is "bacterial SSU rRNA". It matches the Rfam family "Bacterial small subunit ribosomal RNA", at positions 83 to 902 of the family's 1533-position model. The record is from RNAcentral. Lineage: Bacteria; Pseudomonadati; Gemmatimonadota.
UAGCAAUACCGACCGGCGAACGGGUGCGUAACACGUGAGCGACCUACCGUAGGUGUGGGGGAUAGUCGGCCUAACGGCCGGGUAAUACCGCAUACGUUCUCUAAUCGGCAUCGAUUGGAGAGGAAACCUUUCGGGCACUUUGAGGGGCUCGCGGCCUAUCAGCUAGUUGGCGAGGUAACGGCUCACCAAGGCGACGACGGGUAGCUGGUCUGAGAGGAUGGCCAGCCACAUUGGGACUGAGAAACGGCCCAGACUCCUACGGGAGGCAGCAGUGGGGAAUCUUGCGCAAUGGCCGAAAGGCUGACGCAGCGACGCCGCGUGUGGGAUGAAGCCCUUCGGGGUGUAAACCACUGUUGCCCGGGACGAAUAGCGGAUUUUCAUCCGCCUGACGGUACCGGGUGAGGAAGCACCGGCUAACUCCGUGCCAGCAGCCGCGGUAAUACGGGGGGUGCGAGCGUUGUCCGGAAUCACUGGGCGUAAAGGGCGCGUAGGUGGUUUGAUAAGGCUGUGGUGAAAGCCCGGGGCUCAACCCCGGGUCUGCCGUGGCGACUGUCAGACUGGAGGGCUCGAGAGGCAGACGGAAUUCCGGGUGUAGCGGUGGAAUGCGUAGAGAUCCGGAAGAAGACCGGUGGCGAAGGCGGUCUGCUGGCGAGUACCUGACACUGAUGCGCGACAGCGUGGGGAGCAAACAGGAUUAGAUACCCUGGUAGUCCACGCCGUAAACGAUGGGCACUAGGCGCUUGGGGGAUCGACCCUCUGAGGGCCGGCGCUAACGCAUGAAGUGCCCCGCCUGGGGAGUACGGCCGCAAGGCUGAAACUC